This 380-nucleotide ribosomal RNA is filed under the name uncultured eukaryote. Its description in RNAcentral is "partial 18S ribosomal RNA". It matches the Rfam family "Eukaryotic small subunit ribosomal RNA", at positions 592 to 976 of the family's 1831-position model. The record is from RNAcentral.
CAAUAGCGUAUAUUAAAGCUGUUGCGGUUAAAAAGCUCGUAGUUGGAUUUCUGUCAAGUACAACUGGUCCGCCCUCCGGGUGAGCACAUAGUUUGGUCUUGGCAUCUUGCUGGAAAUUGUUGCUGCACUUGGCUGUGUGGCGCAGUGUCCAGCACUUUCACUUUGAGGAAAUUGGAGUGUUUCAAGCAGGCAAUGCCUUUGAACACAGUAGCAUGGAAUAAUUAGAUUGGGCUUUUGCUCCAAUUUGUCGGUUUCUGGAGCUGAGGUGAGAAUUAAUGGGGAUUGUUGGGGGCAUCCGAAUUUAGCCGUCAGAGGUGAAAUUCUUGGAUUUACGGAAGACGAACAUCUGCGAAAGCAUUUGCCAAGGAUGUUUUCAUUGA